GGGAAUAUAGCGCAGUCGGUAGCGCGUUAGCCUCAUAAUCUAAAGGUCGUGAGUUCGAGUCUCACUAUUCCCA
Non-coding RNA from Anaeramoeba flamelloides, 73 nucleotides. The record is from the annotation of a GenBank genome assembly. NCBI's taxonomy places the organism in Eukaryota, Anaeramoebidae.